GAUGAACGCUGGCGGCGUGCCUAAUACAUGCAAGUCGAGCGAACAGAUGAGGAGCUUGCUCCUCUGACGUUAGCGGCGGACGGGUGAGUAAAACGUGGAUAACCUACCUAUAAGACUGGGAUAACUUCGGGAAACCGGAGCUAAUACCGGAUAAUAUAUUGAACCGCAUGGUUCAAUAGUGAAAGACGGUUUUGCUGUCACUUAUAGAUGGAUCCGCGCCGCAUUAGCUAGUUGGUAAGGUAACGGCUUACCAAGGCAACGAUGCGUAGCCGACCUGAGAGGGAGAGCGGCCACACUGGAACUGAGACACGGUCCAGAGUCCUACGGGAGGCAGCAGUAGGGAAUCUGCCGCAAUGGGCGAAAGCCUGACGGAGCAACGCCGCGUGAGUGAUGAAGGUCUUCGGAUCGUAAAACUCUGUUAUUAGGGAAGAACAAAUGUGUAAGUAACUAUGCACGUCUUGACGGUACCUAAUCAGAAAGCCACGGCUAACUACGUG
This 497-nucleotide ribosomal RNA is filed under the name uncultured bacterium. RNAcentral's name for it is "partial 16S ribosomal RNA". It matches the Rfam family "Bacterial small subunit ribosomal RNA", at positions 28 to 507 of the family's 1533-position model. The record is from RNAcentral.